AUACGGAGGGUGCGAGCGUUAAUCGGAAUUACUGGGCGUAAAGCGUGCGUAGGCGGUUUGCUAAGUCAGAUGUGAAAGCCCCGGGCUUAAUCUGGGAACUGCAUUUGAUACUGGCAGACUAGAGUAUGAUAGAGGGGGGUAGAAUUCCUGGUGUAGCGGUGAAAUGCGUAGAUAUCAGGAGGAAUACCAGUGGCGAAGGCGGCCCCCUGGAUCAAUACUGACGCUGAGGUACGAAAGCGUGGGGAGCGAACAGGAGUAGAUACCCUAGUAGUCC
Molecule: ribosomal RNA, 274 nt
Filed under: uncultured bacterium
Lineage: Bacteria
Description: partial 16S ribosomal RNA
Rfam family: Bacterial small subunit ribosomal RNA
Source: RNAcentral